Molecule: non-coding RNA, 1319 nt
Organism: Camelina sativa (false flax)
Lineage: Eukaryota; Viridiplantae; Streptophyta; Magnoliopsida; Brassicales; Brassicaceae
Source: RefSeq, a predicted model, not a curated record
UGGCCAAAAUAUUUAGGUUUUGACUUAAGUUGUAAACCUAAAUACCAAAUCUAACAUUUUUUUUUUCUCAUUUCGUAAAGAACCGAGAAAAAAAACUGUUGGUCUCCUCCCUUAAUCUCAUCUUCUCUCUUUGUCUCUAGAUUUCCUCUUGCUUCUUUGUAAGCAUUUCCUUCACCUAAAAGACGAGUUGGAUUUAGUAGAACAGUAGCAUCUGUUGGGAAACAGUUUCAAUCAAAAAUUUCAAGCUCCUGGCGGUGGCGGCUGUGGGUCGCGUCCCUCUUCUCAGUCGCAGAUCCGAAGCAGUGGUGGCGGUGGUCGUUCGCUUCCCUACAUAGAUGCCGUCUGUUCUGCUUCCUCCGGUUCAAUUCGCGACGGUGAAUGGAUCAUUGUCUACAUCGACACCGCCUAUUCUAGUUAAGUUGUGUUCGUUUUCUUUGUCUCGAAUCCGUGGUUAGAGGAUUUUCACCUAUCUUUAUAGACAUAACUGAAGAAUUCAAACAAUUCACAAUUGGAUUGAUUAAAUUCUUCAGUUAUCAAGAAUUAAGGUGAUCAGUUUAAGGGAAGAGACCAAAGAUUGAUAUCAGCCCUAGGGAGUUGAAGAGUCUUUUGCUUAAGCGGUGAGUAUGAUAUCAUACCAUACCAUAUGUUUGUCUUUCCUCUAUACUCUCAUUGGAUUUGCAGGAUAGGUUGUACUCAAAUUUGUGAUAGAAAGGAGUUAUAGCUCCCAUCUAUCAAUUUCUUUGGAUGUAGGGAUCAAUGUAGUGGAGGAAAAGAGUCACACCAAUGGCUUCAGAGCAUCCUGAGGUUAAUGUGAAUCAAAUGCAGUGCUUCUAGGAGCCAUUGCAGGGUACCAAUGAGAUAACAAUGAAAAGCAUCUGAGACAUGAGAAGGGGUUACUUCAGUUCAGCUUCGUGCAGGUCUCAAAGUCUUUGGAAAUAUGUGAUCUGCUAUAGUUUUGCCACAGGUAACCAUCCUCAGCCUAAUCUCAAAAAAUUCAGUUAAGGUAAGGGAGCUCUUGAUACAGUUAUUAACCCUCCUCUGCAGAAACUUGAGAUUUCUGAAAAGUUAAUAACCCUCUGCAGAAACUUGAAUUUUCUGAAAAAACUCAGUUCAUUAAAUUGCUUGUUUCCAUGACGCAAACAAAUCUCGGCUGUCUACAAUUGGAAAAGAGGUUUGAUUUGGGUUCCAAUGAAAUCAUUUUCCAUAGAGUCUGUGUGAGGAUUAGGAAUCCAGGUGCCGUUGUUUCAAACUUUAAGAGUAAAACCCAAAAUAUAUUUCAAAAACUUUGCGUAUGCAAUAUGAAUAUGUGUUUUAAAAUG